This 34-nucleotide ribosomal RNA is filed under the name Lecanora cinereofusca. RNAcentral's name for it is "partial 28S ribosomal RNA". Lineage: Eukaryota; Fungi; Ascomycota; Lecanoromycetes; Lecanorales; Lecanoraceae. The record is from RNAcentral.
AGGCUUUUGGCCAGAUAGACUACACAUUUUUCAA